GACGAACGCUGGCGGCGUGCUUAACACAUGCAAGUCGAACGGUGAAGCGCCUUCCUUUUUGGUGGGUGUGGAUGAGUGGCGAACGGGUGAGUAACACGUGAGUAACCUGCCCCCUUCUUCUGGAUAACCGCAUGAAAGUGUGGCUAAUACGGGAUAUUCUGGGUCUGUCGCAUGAUGGGUCUGGGAAAGAUAUUGUUUCGGUGGGGGAUGGGCUCGCGGCCUAUCAGCUUGUUGGUGGGGUGAUGGCCUACCAAGGCGGUGACGGGUAGCCGGCCUGAGAGGGUGGACGGUCACGCUGGGACUGAGACACGGCCCAGACUCCUACGGGAGGCAGCAGUGGGGAAUAGUGCACAAUGGGCGCAAGCCUGAUGCAGCGACGCCGCGUGAGGGAUGGAGGCCUUCGGGUUGUGAACCUCUUUCGCCAGUGAAGCAGGCCUGCCUCGUUUGUGGGUGGGUUGACGGUAGCUGGAUAAGAAGCGCCGGCUAACUACGUG
Molecule: ribosomal RNA, 494 nt
Filed under: uncultured bacterium
Lineage: Bacteria
Description: partial 16S ribosomal RNA
Rfam family: Bacterial small subunit ribosomal RNA
Source: RNAcentral